ACCAGGUUGGUUAGGCACAACCUCCCCUUGGUAAAGCCAUGCUGGCUUUCUCGGAUCACCUGCUCAUCCCUCACAUGCCUUAACAUAUCUUCUAGGAGGAUCUGUUCCAUGAACUUCGCAGGAACAUAGAGGAGAAUGGAACUAUGUGAUGCGGCUGACAGCACAUUGUGCUGAAGAAACAGCAGCAUUCCUGCUAAGAAACGUCCCGCUGUGAAGGCAUGAACAUUAUGACAACAUGGUGUAUCACACCACAGCCUGAAGGCUCCCAAAACACACACCCUUGAGAAUUCCUGGGACCAAGGAAGUCACCAUGUCGGAGGACAUGAGGCUACCAGCAACAGCUUGUGAUGCAUUUGCUUCAAGGAGAUUGAUGUACAUUCAACACAAGUAAUAUUUUGCUGCAGAGCAGGCAUGGCUGUGACUAGCUGGUGAAGCUGUGGAUUCAGAGUGUGGCCAUAAGAAAGGUGCUUGAAGAAAAGAGGGCAGUGGAGAAUCAGAAGGGAGACUGCACUAAUCAGCAUUUAUGCUUGCACUGAGAGAAAUCUCCAGAGAGCUAAAGGCUGGAACGACUAGCCCUCUGCACCUCCUUCUUCAAGGCUGCUUAUUCCAAAUAAUUACUAAUUACUCACACUGAUGAAGAGAACAAAGAUAACGCUUCCAAGUAUGACUGUAAAAUCAGUGCUUGAGAGCUAACUCAGUGGGCCUUCAAGGACUUCUCUGACGUCUUAUUAGGGAAUUGUAUACUUCUAAGUCACUUACUUCUGGUGUGAUUCUUAGGAAUUUAUGGGAGGUAAAAUGGGAUAAAAUAUUAACCUUACAGGAAAAAAGUGUUGGGAUUAAAUAGUCAUAAUGAAAGACA
Non-coding RNA from Coturnix japonica (Japanese quail), 859 nucleotides. Lineage: Eukaryota; Metazoa; Chordata; Aves; Galliformes; Phasianidae. The record is from RefSeq and is a predicted model, not a curated record.